GUAUGUGCCGCAACGAUAGCGUCAGCCUGGGAGCGCAGCCGAAGCGUGCGGCCCCAAGGAGCCCGGCCCUCUUAGGAGAUGCCAACUAAGAGACAACGGCCUGGUAACGGCUGGAACUUCCCAGAUGGCGAGGUGGCCUUCUUUCACACCUGAUGCAGAUUUGCAUCCCCGGACAGCCGAGAGACGCAGAUCGAUUAUAUCUGUGGCGGAGCGCUCCAUACCAGGUGGUAAAGCCGGAUCUUAGCAGUCAGUGUCGAGUGAGC
Molecule: long non-coding RNA, 263 nt
Organism: Corvus hawaiiensis (hawaiian crow)
Lineage: Eukaryota; Metazoa; Chordata; Aves; Passeriformes; Corvidae
Exons: 4
Source: RefSeq, a predicted model, not a curated record